AGACGUCUACUAUUAGACGUACCCGGGUAGUCCAGCCGUAAACUAUGCUCGCUAGGUGUCAGGCAUGGCGCGACCGUGUCUGGUGCCGCAGGGAAGCCGUGAAGCGAGCCACCUGGGAAGUACGGCCGCAAGGCUGAAACUUAAAGGAAUUGGCGGGGGAGCACAACAACGGGUGGAGCCUGCGGUUUAAUUGGACUCAACGCCGGACAACUCACCGGGAACGACAGCAAUAUGUAGGCCAGGCUGAAGACCUUGCCUGAAUCGCUG
RNAcentral lists this ribosomal RNA (267 nucleotides) under uncultured archaeon. Its description in RNAcentral is "partial 16S ribosomal RNA". It matches the Rfam family "Archaeal small subunit ribosomal RNA", at positions 715 to 982 of the family's 1478-position model. The record is from RNAcentral.